GAUGAACGCUGGCGGCGUGCCUAAUACAUGCAAGUCGAGCGAACAGACGAGGAGCUUGCUCCUUUGACGUUAGCGGCGGACGGGUGAGUAACACGUGGGUAACCUACCUAUAAGACUGGGAUAACUUCGGGAAACCGGAGCUAAUACCGGAUAAUAUUUCGAACCGCAUGGUUCGAUAGUGAAAGAUGGCUUUGCUAUCACUUAUAGAUGGACCUGCGCCGUAUUAGCUAGUUGGUAAGGUAACGGCUUACCAAGGCAACGAUACGUAGCCGACCUGAGAGGGUGAUCGGCCACACUGGACCUGAGACACGGUCCAGACUCCUACGGGAGGCAGCAGUAGGGAAUCUUCCGCAAUGGGCGAAAGCCUGACGGAGCAACGCCGCGUGAGUGAUGAAGGUCUUCGGAUCGUAAAACUCUGUUAUUAGGGAAGAACAAACGUGUAAGUAACUGUGCACGUCUUGACGGUACCUAAUCAGAAAGCCACGGCUAACUACGG
RNAcentral lists this ribosomal RNA (496 nucleotides) under uncultured bacterium. Its description in RNAcentral is "partial 16S ribosomal RNA". It matches the Rfam family "Bacterial small subunit ribosomal RNA", at positions 28 to 506 of the family's 1533-position model. The record is from RNAcentral.